Sapajus apella (tufted capuchin) is the source of this 112-nucleotide long non-coding RNA. RefSeq lists it as uncharacterized. The record is from RefSeq and is a predicted model, not a curated record. The transcript is spliced from 2 exons. Lineage: Eukaryota; Metazoa; Chordata; Mammalia; Primates; Cebidae.
GGCUCACACCAGUAAUCCCAGCACUUUGGGAGGCUGAGCUGGGCGGAUCAUGAAAUCAAGAGAUUGAGACCAUCCUGGCCAAUAUGGUGAAACCCUGUCUCUAGUAAAAAUA